RNAcentral lists this ribosomal RNA (723 nucleotides) under Arthrobacter sp. T25Y. RNAcentral describes it as "bacterial SSU rRNA". It matches the Rfam family "Bacterial small subunit ribosomal RNA", at positions 117 to 850 of the family's 1533-position model. The record is from RNAcentral. Lineage: Bacteria; Bacillati; Actinomycetota; Actinomycetes; Micrococcales; Micrococcaceae.
GUGAGUAACCUGCCCUUAACUUCUGGGAUAAGCCUGGGAAACUGGGUCUAAUACCGGAUAUGACUCCUCAUCGCAUGGUGGGGGGUGGAAAGCUUUUUGUGGUUUUGGAUGGACUCGCGGCCUAUCAGCUUGUUGGUGAGGUAAUGGCUCACCAAGGCGACGACGGGUAGCCGGCCUGAGAGGGUGACCGGCCACACUGGGACUGAGACACGGCCCAGACUCCUACGGGAGGCAGCAGUGGGGAAUAUUGCACAAUGGGCGAAAGCCUGAUGCAGCGACGCCGCGUGAGGGAUGACGGCCUUCGGGUUGUAAACCUCUUUCAGUAGGGAAGAAGCGAAAGUGACGGUACCUGCAGAAGAAGCGCCGGCUAACUACGUGCCAGCAGCCGCGGUAAUACGUAGGGCGCAAGCGUUAUCCGGAAUUAUUGGGCGUAAAGAGCUCGUAGGCGGUUUGUCGCGUCUGCCGUGAAAGUCCGGGGCUCAACUCCGGAUCUGCGGUGGGUACGGGCAGACUAGAGUGAUGUAGGGGAGACUGGAAUUCCUGGUGUAGCGGUGAAAUGCGCAGAUAUCAGGAGGAACACCGAUGGCGAAGGCAGGUCUCUGGGCAUUAACUGACGCUGAGGAGCGAAAGCAUGGGGAGCGAACAGGAUUAGAUACCCUGGUAGUCCAUGCCGUAAACGUUGGGCACUAGGUGUGGGGGACAUUCCACGUUUUCCGCGCCGUA